CCUACGGUAGGCUGCAGUGGGGAAUAUUGGACAAUGGGGGGAACCCUGAUCCAGCCAUGCCGCGUGUGUGAAGAAGGCCCUCGGGUUGUAAAGCACUUUCAGUGAGGAAGAACGCCUGGUGGUUAAUACCCAUCAGGAAAGACAUCACUCACAGAAGAAGCACCGGCUAACUCCGUGCCAGCAGCCGCGGUAAUACGGAGGGUGCGAGCGUUAAUCGGAAUUACUGGGCGUAAAGCGCGCGUAGGUGGCUUGAUAAGCCGGUUGUGAAAGCCCCGGGCUCAACCUGGGAACGGCAUCCGGAACUGUCAAGCUAGAGUGCAGGAGAGGAAGGUAGAAUUCCCGGUGUAGCGGUGAAAUGCGUAGAGAUCGGGAGGAAUACCAGUGGCGAAGGCGGCCUUCUGGACUGACACUGACACUGAGGUGCGAAAGCGUGGGUAGCAAACAGGAUUAGAUACCCGUGUAGUC
RNAcentral lists this ribosomal RNA (465 nucleotides) under Vreelandella stevensii. Its description in RNAcentral is "partial 16S ribosomal RNA". It matches the Rfam family "Bacterial small subunit ribosomal RNA", at positions 338 to 795 of the family's 1533-position model. Lineage: Bacteria; Pseudomonadati; Pseudomonadota; Gammaproteobacteria; Oceanospirillales; Halomonadaceae. The record is from RNAcentral.